This is a transfer RNA of Drechmeria coniospora, 72 nucleotides long. It matches the Rfam family "tRNA". From Rfam's summary of the family: Transfer RNA (tRNA) molecules are approximately 80 nucleotides in length. Their secondary structure includes four short double-helical elements and three loops (D, anti-codon, and T loops). The record is from Rfam. NCBI's taxonomy places the organism in Eukaryota, Fungi, Ascomycota, Sordariomycetes, Hypocreales, Ophiocordycipitaceae.
GCGCGAAUAGUGUAGCGGUUAGCAUACAUGCUUCCCAAGCAUGUGACCCGGGUUCGAGUCCCGGUUCGCGCA